Long non-coding RNA from Lutra lutra (Eurasian river otter), 282 nucleotides. RefSeq lists it as uncharacterized. Lineage: Eukaryota; Metazoa; Chordata; Mammalia; Carnivora; Mustelidae. The record is from RefSeq and is a predicted model, not a curated record. The transcript is spliced from 3 exons.
CGCUCGGAUAACUUUUUGGUUGGUUGCCGCAGGGUGCCCGAUCGCCCAGGCCCCUUUUAAACUUGGUCUCUCCACCGCCCUCUCUUUUCGGCCACGGCGCGCGACUCGGCUCAGUCCAGUUCAAGAUGUUGACAAACUUCAGGGCUGCUGGCCUGAAGGAAGCUUUUCACGUAGAUAACGUGUAUUUGCACAUGUGGUAAUAUAUGUGUGUAUAUAUAAUGUUUUUCCUUCCUUUGUCCAUUUCAUGGUAGUAGCAGAGGUGAAUUUUGAGCAGGUGCCAAA